GGCUUCAAUGAUAUGCUCUGCCCGGUGGCCUCCAGGAUCAGCCUCGACUCAUGAAGAACACCCAAGGGACCUGACUUAAUGAUGAGGAUGAUGUUGGAGGAAUCGGAGUGGUCACUGAAGAUCGUGGACUCGCAUCCGCCAUUGCUGGAAGUUUGAACUUCGAGAGGGCAGAGCGAUCCCGUAUGAGAAGACCACCGAUGUGAUCAUAGCAUUUUCUCUGGGCGUACCUUC
Long non-coding RNA from Triticum dicoccoides, 231 nucleotides. RefSeq lists it as uncharacterized. Lineage: Eukaryota; Viridiplantae; Streptophyta; Magnoliopsida; Poales; Poaceae. The transcript has 3 exons. The record is from RefSeq and is a predicted model, not a curated record.